This 458-nucleotide ribosomal RNA is filed under the name uncultured bacterium. RNAcentral's name for it is "partial 16S ribosomal RNA". It matches the Rfam family "Bacterial small subunit ribosomal RNA", at positions 338 to 795 of the family's 1533-position model. The record is from RNAcentral.
CCUACGGGGGGCAGCAGUGAGGAAUAUUGGUCAAUGGGCGAGAGCCUGAACCAGCCAAGUCGCGUGAGGGAGUACUGCCCUAUGGGUUGUAAACCUCUUUUGUCGGGGAGCAAAAGCCGGACGUGUCCGUCUGUUAAAUUACCCGACGAAAAAGCAUCGGCUAACUCCGUGCCAGCAGCCGCGGUAAUACGGAGGAUUCAGGCGUUAUCGGGAUUUAGUGGGUUUAACGGGUGCGCAGGCGGAUUUUUACUGCAGCGGUAAAAUCGUGGGGCUCAACCCCAUCCAGCCGUUGAAACUGGGGAUCUAGAGUGUGCGAGAGGUAUGCGGAAGGCGUGGUGUAGCGGUGAAAUGCAUAGAUAGCACGAAGAACCCCGAUUGCGAAGGCAGCAUACCGGUGCACAACUGACGCUCAGGCACGAAAGCGUGGGUAUCGAACAGGAUUAGAUACCCUAGUAGUC